CGGGGAGCUUGCUCCCUGGUGGCGAGCGGCGGACGGGUGAGUAAUGCAUAGGAAUCUGCCCGGUAGUGGGGGAUAACCUGGGGAAACCCAGGCUAAUACCGCAUACGUCCUACGGGAGAAAGCAGGGGCUCUUCGGACCUUGCGCUAUCGGAUGAGCCUAUGUCGGAUUAGCUGGUUGGUGAGGUAAUGGCUCACCAAGGCGACGAUCCGUAGCUGGUCUGAGAGGAUGAUCAGCCACAUCGGGACUGAGACACGGCCCGAACUCCUACGGGAGGCAGCAGUGGGGAAUAUUGGACAAUGGGGGCAACCCUGAUCCAGCCAUGCCGCGUGUGUGAAGAAGGCCCUCGGGUUGUAAAGCACUUUCAGUGGGGAAGAACGCCUGACGGUUAAUACCCGUCAGGGAAGACAUCACCCACAGAAGAAGCACCGGCUAACUCCGUGCCAGCAGCCGCGGUAAUACGGAGGGUGCGAGCGUUAAUCGGAAUUACUGGGCGUAAAGCGCGCGUAGGCGGCUUGAUAAGCCGGUUGUGAAAGCCCCGGGCUCAACCUGGGAACGGCAUCCGGAACUGUCAGGCUAGAGUGCAGGAGAGGAAGGUAGAAUUCCCGGUGUAGCGGUGAAAUGCGUAGAGAUCGGGAGGAAUACCAGUGGCGAAGGCGGCCUUCUGGACUGACACUGACGCUGAGGUGCGAAAGCGUGGGUAGCAAACAGGAUUAGAUACCCUGGUAGUCCACGCCGUAAACGAUGUCGACUAGCCGUUGGGUCCUUCGCGGACUUUGUGGCGCAGUUAACGCGAUAAGUCGACCGCCUGGGGAGUACGGCCGCAAGGUUAAAACUCAAAUGAAUUGACGGGGGCCCGCACAAGCGGUGGAGCAUGUGGUUUAAUUCGAUGCAACGCGAAGAACCUUACCUACCCUUGACAUCCUGCGAACCCUUCGGAGACGAAGGGGUGCCUUCGGGAACGCAGAGACAGGUGCUGCAUGGCUGUCGUCAGCUCGUGUUGUGAAAUGUUGGGUUAAGUCCCGUAACGAGCGCAACCCUUGUCCCUAUUUGCCAGCGAUUCGGUCGGGAACUCUAGGGAGACUGCCGGUGACAAACCGGAGGAAGGUGGGGACGACGUCAAGUCAUCAUGGCCCUUACGGGUAGGGCUACACACGUGCUACAAUGGUCGGUACAAAGGGUUGCGAGCUCGCGAGGGCAAGCCAAUCCCAGAAAGCCGAUCUCAGUCCGGAUCGGAGUCUGCAACUCGACUCCGUGAAGUCGGAAUCGCUAGUAAUCGUGAAUCAGAAUGUCACGGUGAAUACGUUCCCGGGCCUUGUACACACCGCCCGUCACACCAUGGGAGUGGACUGCACCAGA
RNAcentral lists this ribosomal RNA (1357 nucleotides) under Halomonas sp. RNAcentral describes it as "bacterial SSU rRNA". It matches the Rfam family "Bacterial small subunit ribosomal RNA", at positions 72 to 1424 of the family's 1533-position model. The record is from RNAcentral. Lineage: Bacteria; Pseudomonadati; Pseudomonadota; Gammaproteobacteria; Oceanospirillales; Halomonadaceae.